Molecule: microRNA precursor, 64 nt
Organism: Gadus morhua (Atlantic cod)
Lineage: Eukaryota; Metazoa; Chordata; Actinopteri; Gadiformes; Gadidae
Gene: gmo-mir-30e-1
Product: gmo-mir-30e-1
Source: Ensembl
UGUAAACAUCCUUGACUGGAAGCUGCAUUCUGACCCUUUAAGGCUUUCAGUCGGAUGUUUGCAG